UUGCCCUUGGCGUCGGGGUCCACGCGGGUGUGCUCCAGGCGGGCGCCGAAGCUGAGAUCGAGGCGGUCGCUGAGUUUCCAUUCCUCAAGGGCGAAC
RNAcentral lists this transfer RNA (96 nucleotides) under Pseudomonas aeruginosa. Its description in RNAcentral is "tRNA-Trp(cca)". Lineage: Bacteria; Pseudomonadati; Pseudomonadota; Gammaproteobacteria; Pseudomonadales; Pseudomonadaceae. The record is from RNAcentral.